Molecule: transfer-messenger RNA, 365 nt
Filed under: Fibrobacterota
Lineage: Bacteria; Pseudomonadati
Also listed under: 7 other names
Description: XYB2-FULL-49-35 sp001789205 Standard tmRNA
Rfam family: transfer-messenger RNA
About the family: Bacterial tmRNA, also known as 10Sa RNA or SsrA, is named for its dual tRNA and mRNA-like properties. Its role is to liberate the mRNA from a stalled ribosome. To accomplish this part of the tmRNA is used as a reading frame that ends in a translation stop signal.
Source: RNAcentral
GGGGGCGAUCUUGGCAUUCGACGGAAGUCUUAUGUGCGGAGAUUGCAUGCCGAGGAUUCUGGUUGGCCUCGUUAAUCAUCCAGAAAAAAACAAACGGCGAAGAAUACUCUUACGCCAUGGCUGCCUAAUAUAGCGUAGCCCGUCCUUUUUGCUUGCUCUGUCCGCGGCGGGCUUAAAGGGCGUCAUCAAUGCGGACUGGCCCUGCGAUGGCGCUGCAGCGUCGCAGGGCGAGAAAUACUGCGGCUGGUGUAACCGGUACCCUGUCCUUCGGGAACGGCGGCACGAGAAACAAUGAAGGAAAAAGCAUGUAGGAGUUUCUGUUCAGGGGUUUUCGGACGCGGGUUCGAUUCCCGCCGCCUCCAUAA